GCAUUUUUAAGUAGUUUUUUUUUUCCCAGCGUUUUGGCAAUUUUUCAUACAUAAAACUAAAGGGUUCAGGUGAACAUCUGAUAUGGUGUAGUUAGUGGAUGAAAAACUUACCACCGAAAUUUGGUCAAUAGAGAACGGCAUCACUGUGUUUGAGAAAUUUCCAGCUAGUGUAUAUUUGAGUCCUGUUAACAGUGGAUAUCGGAACAUGUAAUGGUUAUGAUAAACAUAAUGACUAUACUGGAUCUAUGAGUUGCUAUGUUGUGCUAUAGUCAGAUAAUCAAACAGAUGAACUCUCAGAUAAUCAAACAGAUGAACUAACUGUAAUAUUUGUAUGUACAAAUUUAUAAUGAAACACAUAUAAUAAUGUGCUUUUAUCAAAUGUCAAAGUAAUCUUAUAAUGGUAUUACCAAGUCCAUUGACAUUAGUUUUGCCUAAUUUAUCAUAACUCAGAUAAAAGCUACCUAUGGAAUUUAUGAGAGUCCUCUCUCCUUCUUCCCUUAGAAAUAUGAUGCAGAAUUGAUCUCAGGAAAAUGUUAAAUAAUUAGGAAUUUGAAGUUUUAAUGUGUGCGCAUGCUUGCUUGCCCGCACUUUUUGGUUGAGAAAGAGAGAAAGGAAGAGGAUUAUAGUUGCAUAUUUUUAAAGUUAACUGUAGUAAAUCAAAUUUUGUCCUUGAAUUUAUAUGUUGAAGAACUUUUCUGAAUGCUGUUUUCCCCGUAUGUCAGUCUUCACAUGCCAUCGUGUUGAAUCCCGUUUCUUAUUCUCAAUCAACCUAGCCACACUUUUUUUCUGCUGAUGAACAUAGAUGGAGAAGAGUGGAAUCUUAAGCAUCUAAAUAGUCUGUUUGUCAUAGCACCUUAGUUUAACUACAGAGGCUCGUAGAUGAACAACACUAACAUAUCUGUGAUGUAUUUGUUGUACUUGAAGAUUCUAAUUAUAAACUUCUUUUAUGCUUAAAAAGUGUAAAGGCAACCAGUACUCAAUUGGUUAGCACUCUAGGAUUUCUACAUGUAGACUAUGUGUAGUUUGAUGCUGUAUUCAUCUGUUACGGUUAUCAAUUGAAAUGAUUGGUGUGCUGCUCAUUUUGCAGGAAGGAGCAUCUCAACAGCUAU
This 1109-nucleotide unclassified non-coding RNA is filed under the name Hevea brasiliensis (rubber tree). Lineage: Eukaryota; Viridiplantae; Streptophyta; Magnoliopsida; Malpighiales; Euphorbiaceae. The record is from RNAcentral.